RNAcentral lists this ribosomal RNA (323 nucleotides) under uncultured bacterium. RNAcentral describes it as "partial 16S ribosomal RNA". It matches the Rfam family "Bacterial small subunit ribosomal RNA", at positions 355 to 668 of the family's 1533-position model. The record is from RNAcentral.
UGGGGAAUAUUGCACAAUGGGCGCAAGCCUGAUGCAGCCAUGCCGCGUGUGUGAAGAAGGCCUUCGGGUUGUAAAGCACUUUUCAGCGAGGAGGAAGGGUAGUGUGUUAAUAGCACAUUGCAUUGACGUUACUCGCAGAAGAAGCACCGGCUAACUCCGUGCCAGCAGCCGCGGUAAUACGGAGGGUGCAAGCGUUAAUCGGAAUUACUGGGCGUAAAGCGCACGCAGGCGUUAUUUGAUGAUCAGAUGUGAAAUCCCCGCGCUUAACGUGGGAACUGCAUUUGAAACUGGCAAGCUAGAGUCUUGUAGAGGGGGGUAGAAUU